GGCAAGGGGCGGGCGUGCUAUACAUGCAGUCGAGCGGGAGAAUCAUCCUUCGGGAUGAGGAUCCAGCGGCGAACGGGAGUAGACACGGGCACCGCCCCGCAGACCGAUAACUCGAGGAAACCGGGUAAUCCGAUAGCCUCCUUCCCCCAUAAGGAAAUGGAAAAGGGGAAGGCGGCUUUCGCUGUCAACUUGGGAUGGCCCCGCGCCUUAGCUUGGUUGGUGAGAGUAACGUCCACCAAGGCGACGAGCCGUGUUCCCACCUAAGGGUGUAUUCGGCCACACAUGGGGAUGAGACCACGCCCAAUCUAGGGGGCAGCAGUAGGGAAUUUUCCGCAAUGGGGAAAGCCUGAGGAGCAACGCCGCUGAGUGAGGACGGCCUUCGGGUUGUAAAACUCUGUUCUUGAGGAAGAAUUCCUUCCAGGCGAACAGCCUGGAAGGUUGACGGUACUCAAGGAGAAAGCCCCGGCUAAUACGUGCCAGCAGCCGCGGUAAUACGUAGGGGGCGAGCGUUAUCCGGAAUUAUUGGGCGUAAAGCGCGCGCAGGCGGCUGAUUAAGUCAGGUGUGAAAGGCUGCGGCUCAACCGCAGAGCGGCACCUGAAACUGGUCAGCUUGAGUGCAGGAGAGGGGAGCGGAAUUCCCGGUGUAGCGGUGGAAUGCGUAGAGAUCGGGAGGAACACCAGUGGCGAAGGCGGCUCUCUGGCCUGUAACUGACGCUGAGGCGCGAAAGCGUGGGGAGCAAACAGGAUUAGAUACCCUGGUAGUCCACGCCGUAAACGAUGAGUGCUAGGUGUUUUGGGGGGGUCCCCCCUCAUGCCAAGGUAACCCAUUAACACUCCCCGGGGAUUACGGCCCAAGGUAAACCUCAAAGGAAUUACGGGGGCCCCCCAACGGUGGACCAGUGGUUUAAUUCAAGCACCAAAAACCUUACCAGGGUUGAAUCCCCUACCCCCUCCAAAGGGAGGUUUCCUUCGGACACCGGUGACAGGGGUGGUGCAGGGUUGUCCGCAGCUCGUGCCGGAGAAAUGUUGGGGUUCAGUCCUCCACACCAACCCUUUGUCUUAUUUGCCACUUUUCGAAUGGGCACUCUACUAACAGCCCGUGAAGUCCGGAAGGAAGGUGGGGAUGAUCAAAUCCUCCGAAUGCCUCCUUA
This 1151-nucleotide ribosomal RNA is filed under the name Thermoactinomyces vulgaris. RNAcentral describes it as "bacterial SSU rRNA". It matches the Rfam family "Bacterial small subunit ribosomal RNA", at positions 34 to 1204 of the family's 1533-position model. Lineage: Bacteria; Bacillati; Bacillota; Bacilli; Caryophanales; Thermoactinomycetaceae. The record is from RNAcentral.